CACGCAAGCGGUCUAACAAGUCUGGCGUGAAAUCCUCUGGCUUAACCAGGGGCGGUCGCUGGAGACUGUUAAACUUGAGGCGAUGAGAGGGGUGCAGAAUUCCCGGUGUAGUGGUGGAAUGCGUAGAUAUCGGGAGGAAUACCAGUGGCGAAAGCGGCACCCUGGCGUCGUACUGACGCACAUGUGCGAAAGCGUGGGGAGCGAACGGGAUUAGAUACCCCGGUAGUCCACGCGGUAAACGAUGAACACUAGGUGUGGGUGGAGUCAAUCUGUCCGUGCCAAAGCCAACGCGUUAAGUGUUCCGCCUGGGAAGUACGGCCGCAAGGCUAAA
RNAcentral lists this ribosomal RNA (331 nucleotides) under uncultured Chloroflexota bacterium. RNAcentral describes it as "bacterial SSU rRNA". It matches the Rfam family "Bacterial small subunit ribosomal RNA", at positions 568 to 898 of the family's 1533-position model. Lineage: Bacteria; Bacillati; Chloroflexota. The record is from RNAcentral.